This 83-nucleotide transfer RNA is filed under the name Bacteroidales bacterium. RNAcentral describes it as "tRNA-Tyr". It matches the Rfam family "tRNA". Rfam says of the family: Transfer RNA (tRNA) molecules are approximately 80 nucleotides in length. Their secondary structure includes four short double-helical elements and three loops (D, anti-codon, and T loops). Further hydrogen bonds mediate the characteristic L-shaped molecular structure. tRNAs have two regions of fundamental functional importance: the anti-codon, which is responsible for specific mRNA codon recognition, and the 3' end, to which the tRNAs corresponding amino acid is attached (by aminoacyl-tRNA synthetases). tRNAs cope with the degeneracy of the genetic code in two manners: having more than one tRNA (with a specific anti-codon) for a particular amino acid; and 'wobble' base-pairing, i.e. permitting non-standard base-pairing at the 3rd anti-codon position. The record is from RNAcentral. Lineage: Bacteria; Pseudomonadati; Bacteroidota; Bacteroidia; Bacteroidales.
GGGGGGAUUCCAGAGUGGCUAAAUGGGACAGACUGUAAAUCUGUUGGCGUACGCCUUCGGAGGUUCGAAUCCUCCUCCCCCCA